Molecule: transfer RNA, 55 nt
Filed under: Dirofilaria sp. 'Thailand III'
Lineage: Eukaryota; Metazoa; Nematoda; Chromadorea; Rhabditida; Onchocercidae
Description: partial tRNA-Phe
Source: RNAcentral
GAUAUGCUUAUUUAGUUUAAUUUUUUUUUUGAAUAAUAUUUUGAAAAGAUAUAGG